GUGGGGAAUAUUGCACAAUGGGGGAAACCCUGAUGCAGCGACGCCGCGUGAGUGAAGAAGUAUUUCGGUACGUAAAGCUCUAUCAGCAAGGAAGAAAAUGACGGUACUUGACUAAGAAGCACCGGCUAACUACGUGCCAGCAGCCGCGGUAAUACGUAGGGGGCAAGCGUUAUCCGGAUUUACUGGGUGUAAAGGGAGCGUAGACGGGAUGGUAAGUCAGAUUUGAAAGCCCGGGGCUCAACCCCGGGACUGCAUUUGAAACUAUCAGACUAGAGUGCAGGAGAGGUAAGUGGAAUUCCUAGUGUAGCGGUGAAAUGCGUAGAUAUUAGGAGGAACACCAGUGGCGAAGGCGGCUUACUGGACGGUGUCUGACACUGAGGCGCGAAAGCUAGGGGAGCGAACGGGAUUAGAUACCCCUGUAGUCC
This 425-nucleotide ribosomal RNA is filed under the name uncultured bacterium. Its description in RNAcentral is "partial 16S ribosomal RNA". It matches the Rfam family "Bacterial small subunit ribosomal RNA", at positions 354 to 796 of the family's 1533-position model. The record is from RNAcentral.